UUAAAAGAUUAAAAUAUCAUUUAACUUUCCCCAUCGAGUACUCGAUUACAUAGGAACUUACACGACUAGUUUCGGCUACAAUUUAGCCAUCAACGGGUGUUAUGUAGUAUAAACCUAUCACUAAUCACUGAUUUUUAUUGUUUUCUAUGAUUUAUAGUCUUCAUUUUCUGAUGAGUACAUGUCCUUCACUAUUUCUUCGUUCGUUGCACUAUCCCUGGUCAUUAUUAGGUUUGUAUUUUGUAUUUCGUGGUGACGUUCAUAUUUUGUGUAGGACUGUGAAGUAAAGUUUCAAUUUUAUCAUCGUUAAUUGAAUUAAAACUGAGAAGAAUGACGCUCGAACGUUUGAUUCGUUUUGCUCCCAGGGUGUCUGCUCUGUUCACGCCUGGAGAAUCCAUGUCAGAUAACGCGAUGAUCUCCGUGUAUCCUUUCGGAGACGAAUUGUACGCCUUCACAGAGUCCCCCGUGAUCCACCGAUUUGACCUCAAAACUCUAGACACGUUGGAAAGGGUGAAUGUUUCCAAGUAUGUGGGGAUUGUAAAUCAUACAUCACAUCCACAUGUGAUGAAGGAUGGCACAGUGUACAACAUGGGAAUGUCUUUAACAGUUACUGGACCCCACUACUCAAUCAUCAAAUUUCCAGCAGCCUAUGACAUUGCAUCUGCAGAAUCAGCUGAUGGGUUUCCCAGUAGAAGACUGAGUAUGUUUGAGUUAGCCAGUAUAAUGGGCUCCGUUCCUGCCAGAUGGCCUCUUCAGCCUGCUUAUAUGCAUACUUUUGGCAUCACUGAAAAUUACUUUGUGAUUGUGGAACAACCUUUGUCUAUAUCUAUACCAACCAUGAUGCAAACUCAUCUUUUGAAUGAUCCAAUGGGAGCAAGCUUCAAAUGGUACCAAGAUCAACGGACUCAUAUUCUUCUUAUGCGUAGAAAAGAUGGUCAGUUGUUCAAGACAUUCCUUGCAGAUGCUUUCUUUUACCUCCAUAUUAUCAACUCUUAUGAAGAAGAUGAUCAUCUGAUUAUUGAUAUAUGUUGUUACAAAGAUGCCGCUAUGUUGGAUUGCAUGUACGUGGAUGCUUUAAUGAAUAUUCAGAAGAAUCCCGAUUAUGCCAAAAUGUUCCGGGGUCGACCUCUGCGAUUUGUGUUGCCGCUAAAGGACGUUUCCUCAGACACUGUUCCAGAAACAAACCUGGUAACAUUGCAAGGAGCCAAAGCUACUGCUUAUCAACUGUCUGAUGGAAAAAUAUUGUCACAGCCUGAACUUCUGUGUGAUCUUGGCUGUGAAACACCCCGAAUUUAUUAUGAGAAGUAUCUUGGACGGUCUUACCGAUACUUUUAUGCCAUUUCAUCCGAUGUUGAUGCAGAUAACCCAGGCACACUGAUUAAAGUGGAUAUUAAAACCUGCACGAGGUUUACGUGGUGUGAGGAAAAUGUGUAUCCAAGUGAGCCAAUUUUUGUACCCUCACCACAUCCUAAGGUCCAUAUGAACAGGAUCCUUCCAUCCUUUUCUCGGACUGGGACCUGUUCAUAUACGUUCUUGGCAGAUGAUCCAGAAGUGGUUUGCCAUUGCCUUCUUCUUUGUGUGAAUGGAGUAAUUGUUGGGAUGCCACGGAGAAACCGGGGAAGCAUUUUGGAGGAGCAUACUACCUUCCUCUUCAUCCCCCAAAAUUCUUGGACGUACGUGUAUAGUAUACACUCACACAGAGCUGUUAAAGAAAAGUGGACAUAAAAUAUGUGAAGCUACCUCUAUGGCUAAACAUUAUCCAUACAAGUGAAUGGGAGGAGUGGAUGUAAGUGGUCAGCUUUACAUUCUGGCUGCUUUAACCCAGGAUUGGAGGAUGUGGAUUGAGAUUUGCAUAACUGAGGAUAAGGACCAGUGGCAGGCUCUGAUGAACACAGUAACAAACCUUCAGGUUUCACAAAAGACAGGAAAUUCCAUUAUUAGAGGUAGGGGCUGGAGUAGUGGUGAUGGUGGCAGUAUUGUGUGUGUUCCCAUUCCACUGUUGGUGUUAAGUGACAACUCUGCAUUUCAUCAUUGGUGAUGAUGCAACCAAGGAAUUCUGUGCCAGCCAAUGUAAUCUGCAGGGAUGGUGUUAUUGGCAGCACUGUGGGAUGCACAGGGCAUUGAGCUCCUGGAUGACAGGGCAGCAGUGAUUAUAGACUGCUAGUGCACAAUAAUGAGGCAGCUGAUGGAAGCCAUCUAUAUGGCAUGCCCUGGCUUGCUCACAGGGAAGUUGAUUCUUAUCCAGAAUCAGAUAUGUUCAUAGAACAUUUUCAACUUAAAAUUACCCAGUUAACAUUCUUAAGUUUGGCCCAAAUUCCCUAGGACAAUCUGUAUAUAAUAAGAAACUUUUAUUUGUUUAAGACUGAAUGAACAGAGUUAAUUUUGGUGACUGCAUAUAGAAAGUACAUCUUCAUGAAUUCCAUCUCCUCAGUAUCUUUUUUUUUUUUUUUAAUAACAACUUGUUUAAUCACUGGUUCUACACAUGACCCUGUUGAUAUCCAUGUUAUCCCCUGAACUAUGCUGGCACUUUAAAUUAGUUUAUCCCUUUCUUGUGCAAUGGAUUUUGUAUGAAAUAUUGCAAGUUUCAAAGUAUCAUCAUUCUUGAGUGAAUAAUAUACAAAUGAGGGCAUAAGAUAUGUGUACAAAAUUUUAGUUGUGAAACCUGAAAGGAAAAGACUACUUGGAAGACCUAGGAAUGAUAGGAGGAUAACAAUGAAGUGUAUCUUAAAGAAGGAAGGUGUGAAAAUUUGGUCUAGAUUCAUCAGGCAUAGGGCAGGGCCCAUUAGCACACUUAUUUGAUCAUGAUAAUGAACCUUCAGAUUCCAUACAAGGGAGAAAUUUCUUGACUAUCUUGAGUGAUUAUUUGAUCCUCAAAAAGGACUCUUCACCAUGUCAGUAGUUAGAAAAUUACAUGAUAAAUAACAUAGGCAUGUCUCAUGAUCAUAAAUUAUGUAGGAAAUAAUGAAUAAUUAACACCAAACACUAUGUUUUUAUGCAGAACAAAUCUUUACUAAAGAAGACAUAUAUAUGUACUUGUAUUUUCUCUUUCUUUGCUCAUCUUAAAACUUUGCAUACCAUAUAGUGUAUUAGAAUAUAAAUAAGCACACAAACAACUAUUAAUAGUAGUUU
This is a non-coding RNA of Zootermopsis nevadensis, 3126 nucleotides long. The record is from RefSeq and is a predicted model, not a curated record. NCBI's taxonomy places the organism in Eukaryota, Metazoa, Arthropoda, Insecta, Blattodea, Termopsidae.